Molecule: ribosomal RNA, 429 nt
Filed under: Lomentospora prolificans
Lineage: Eukaryota; Fungi; Ascomycota; Sordariomycetes; Microascales; Microascaceae
Description: Scedosporium prolificans Eukaryotic large subunit ribosomal RNA
Rfam family: Eukaryotic large subunit ribosomal RNA
Source: Rfam by way of RNAcentral
CGGACCCGAAAGAAGGUGAACUAUGCCUGUAUAGGGUAAAGCCAGAGGAAACUCUGGUGGAGGCUCGCAGCGGUUCUGACGUGCAAAUCGAUCGUCAAAUAUGGGCAUGGGGGCGAAAGACUAAUCGAACCUUCUAGUAGCUGGUUUCCGCCGAAGUUUCCCUCAGGAUAGCAGUGUUGAAUUCUCAGUUUUAUGAGGUAAAGCGAAUGAUUAGGGACUCGGGGGCGCUAUUAAGCCUUCAUCCAUUCUCAAACUUUAAAUAUGUAAGAAGCCCUUGUUACUUAAUUGAACGUGGGCAUUCGAAUGUAUCAACACUAGUGGGCCAUUUUUGGUAAGCAGAACUGGCGAUGCGGGAUGAACCGAUCGCGGGGAUAAGGUGCCGGAGUGGACGCUCAUCAGACACCACAAAAGGUGUUAUCACAUCUUGAC